Molecule: long non-coding RNA, 943 nt
Organism: Tupaia belangeri chinensis (Chinese tree shrew)
Lineage: Eukaryota; Metazoa; Chordata; Mammalia; Scandentia; Tupaiidae
Exons: 3
Source: RefSeq, a predicted model, not a curated record
CUACGUGGGAGUCCAGUGACAUAGCCAUUACGCCAACUGCUGGUUCCCCUGGCAUGUCUUUUCAAGCUAAUGUGACCUAGAUAGGAACCAAAAUUAGUCAUGUGGAAUCUAGCACACAGUGCCUAACCCAUGUGUUCCAGGUCAGCCCUGUCAGUCAUUUUUAACUGUUACCUUUUUCUUUAAGUAGUCAUGUGUUCUUUGGUGAUUUGUUAAAUUACUUAAAUUAUCAAGAUGAAUCUCAAGAAUUAUGAAUAAAACAUUCAUACACAUUUGACAAUGUAAAUUUUAAAUAGCAAUAAGAAUUCUAAAAAUAAUUUUCAGGAAUUUGUGUAUGGUACUCAUUAAAAAUUUCACUUUAUAAGACAGGUGGGUGGUACAGAGGUAAUGCAAUUGGACCCACACGGGAAAGGUUCUGGGUUCCCAUCCCAGGACCUCCCUGAGUAUGUGGUGCAUAUGCACAAGUGCCUGUGAUUUGGACUGGCAAGACGGGUUGGAUCAUAGUGUGAAGAUCCUGUUGAGAGUGUCUGUCUCUCCCCCCAUCUCUCUGUCUCAUGGAAUAAAUCAUUGUUUUUUAUUCUAGUACAUUAUGAUGUCACAUAAGAUAAAGCUUUGAAACAUUACAACUGCAGCAUAAAGCAGACGACGACAGUACCAGCUACCAUGGUAACAGGCAAUGUUAGCUGCUCACUUGUGCCAGGUGUGGGUGUAAGCAUUCGUCAUAAGGAAAGUCAUGAUGUAUUUUUGCACAGAAAAACAAAGAUAUGUCAUGACUUUCCUGACGACCUAUACAUGCAUGCAUUACCUCAUUUAACUCUCCAGCAUUAUGAGACAGGCACCACAUUUACUUCCAGUUGCCUUCCUCCAUUAGAAAGUAAACCUCAUGAAGAAAUGUCUGAAGAGUAAGGGUAUCCAUGGAACGACAGCUGUGGGACGAAUUAUGAAG